GCGGACGUGGCGGAAUUGGUAGACGCCCUAGAUUUAGGUCCUAGUGAGUUUUCUCGUGAGAGUUCGAGUCUCUCCGUCCGCA
Molecule: transfer RNA, 82 nt
Filed under: Cyanoptyche gloeocystis
Lineage: Eukaryota; Glaucocystophyceae
Description: tRNA-Leu
Rfam family: tRNA
About the family: Transfer RNA (tRNA) molecules are approximately 80 nucleotides in length. Their secondary structure includes four short double-helical elements and three loops (D, anti-codon, and T loops). Further hydrogen bonds mediate the characteristic L-shaped molecular structure. tRNAs have two regions of fundamental functional importance: the anti-codon, which is responsible for specific mRNA codon recognition, and the 3' end, to which the tRNAs corresponding amino acid is attached (by aminoacyl-tRNA synthetases). tRNAs cope with the degeneracy of the genetic code in two manners: having more than one tRNA (with a specific anti-codon) for a particular amino acid; and 'wobble' base-pairing, i.e. permitting non-standard base-pairing at the 3rd anti-codon position.
Source: RNAcentral